UUAAGUGACUAAGCGUACACGGUGGAUGCCUAGGCAGUCAGAGGCGAUGAAGGGCGUGCUAAUCUGCGAAAAGCGUCGGUAAGGUGAUAUGAACCGUUAUAACCGACGAUACCCGAAUGGGGAAACCCAGUGUGUUUCGACACACUAUCCUGUCAUGAAUACAUAGUGGCAGGAGGCGAACCGGGGGAACUGAAACAUCUAAGUACCCCGAGGAAAAGAAAUCAACCGAGAUUCCCCCAGUAGCGGCGAGCGAACGGGGAACAGCCCAGAACCUGAAUCGGCUUGUGUGUCAGUGGAAGCGUCUGGAAAGUCGCACAGUAAAGGGUGAUAGUCCCGUACACGAAGAUGCACAGGUCGUGAGUUCGAUGAGUAGGGCGGGACACGUGUUAUCCUGUCUGAAUAUGGGGGGACCAUCCUCCAAGGCUAAAUACUCCUGACUGACCGAUAGUGAACCAGUACCGUGAGGGAAAGGCGAAAAGAACCCCGGCGAGGGGAGUGAAAUAGAACCUGAAACCGUGUACGUACAAGCAGUGGGAGCAUCCUUCGGGGUGUGACUGCGUACCUUUUGUAUAAUGGGUCAGCGACUUAUAUUUUGUAGCAAGGUUAACCGAAUAGGGGAGCCGUAGGGAAACCGAGUCUUAACUGGGCGUCUAGUUGCAAGGUAUAGACCCGAAACCCGGUGAUCUAGCCAUGGGCAGGUUGAAGGUUGGGUAACACUAACUGGAGGACCGAACCGACUAAUGUUGAAAAAUUAGCGGAUGACUUGUGGCUGGGGGUGAAAGGCCAAUCAAACCGGGAGAUAGCUGGUUCUCCCCGAAAGCUAUUUAGGUAGCGCCUCGUGAACUCAUCUUCGGGGGUAGAGCACUGUUUCGGCUAGGGGGCCAUCCCGGCUUACCAAACCGAUGCAAACUCCGAAUACCGAAGAAUGUUAUCACGGGAGACACACGGCGGGUGCUAACGUCCGUCGUGAAGAGGGAAACAACCCAGACCGCCAGCUAAGGUCCCAAAGUCAUGGUUAAGUGGGAAACGAUGUGGGAAGGCACAGACAGCCAGGAUGUUGGCUUAGAAGCAGCCAUCAUUUAAAGAAAGCGUAAUAGCUCACUGGUCGAGUCGGCCUGCGCGGAAGAUGUAACGGGGCUAAACCAUGCACCGAAGCUGCGGCAGCGACGCUUAGGCGUUGUUGGGUAGGGGAGCGUUCUGUAAGCCGUUGAAGGUGGCCUGCGAGGGUUGCUGGAGGUAUCAGAAGUGCGAAUGCUGACAUAAGUAACGAUAAAGCGGGUGAAAAACCCGCUCGCCGGAAGACCAAGGGUUCCUGUCCAACGUUAAUCGGGGCAGGGUGAGUCGACCCCUAAGGCGAGGCUGAAAAGCGUAGUCGAUGGGAAACAGGUUAAUAUUCCUGUACUUGGUGUUACUGCGAAGGGGGGACGGAGAAGGCUAGGCUAGCCGAGCGACGGUUGUCUCGGUUUAAGCGUGUAGGGGGNAAAUCGUACCCCAAACCGACACAGGUGGUCAGGUAGAGAAUACCAAGGCGCUUGAGAGAACUCGGGUGAAGGAACUAGGCAAAAUGGUGCCGUAACUUCGGGAGAAGGCACGCUGGCGCGUAGGUGAAGUCCCUUGCGGAUGGAGCUGAAGCCAGUCGCAGAUACCAGCUGGCUGCAACUGUUUAAUAAAAACACAGCACUGUGCAAACACGAAAGUGGACGUAUACGGUGUGACGCCUGCCCGGUGCCGGAAGGUUAAUUGAUGGGGUUAUCCGUAAGGAGAAGCUCUUGAUCGAAGCCCCGGUAAACGGCGGCCGUAACUAUAACGGUCCUAAGGUAGCGAAAUUCCUUGUCGGGUAAGUUCCGACCUGCACGAAUGGCGUAAUGAUGGCCAGGCUGUCUCCACCCGAGACUCAGUGAAAUUGAACUCGCUGUGAAGAUGCAGUGUACCCGCGGCAAGACGGAAAGACCCCGUGAACCUUUACUAUAGCUUGACACUGAACAUUGAGCCUUGAUGUGUAGGAUAGGUGGGAGGCUUUGAAGUGUGGACGCCAGUCUGCAUGGAGCCAUCCUUGAAAUACCACCCUUUAAUGUUUGAUGUUCUAACUCUGCCCCAUAAUCUGGGGUGAGGACAGUGUCUGGUGGGUAGUUUGACUGGGGCGGUCUCCUCCCAAAGAGUAACGGAGGAGCACGAAGGUUAGCUAAUCACGGUCGGACAUCGUGAGGUUAGUGCAAAGGCAUAAGCUAGCUUGACUGCGAGAGUGACGGCUCGAGCAGGUGCGAAAGCAGGUCUUAGUGAUCCGGUGGUUCUGAAUGGAAGGGCCAUCGCUCAACGGAUAAAAGGUACUCCGGGGAUAACAGGCUGAUACCGCCCAAGAGUUCAUAUCGACGGCGGUGUUUGGCACCUCGAUGUCGGCUCAUCACAUCCUGGGGCUGAAGUAGGUCCCAAGGGUAUGGCUGUUCGCCAUUUAAAGUGGUACGCGAGCUGGGUUUAGAACGUCGUGAGACAGUUCGGUCCCUAUCUGCCGUGGGCGUUGGAAGAUUGAGAGGGGUUGCUCCUAGUACGAGAGGACCGGAGUGAACGCACCACUGGUGUUCGGGUUGUCAUGCCAAUGGCACUGCCCGGUAGCUAAGUGCGGAAAAGAUAAGCGCUGAAAGCAUCUAAGCGCGAAACUUGCCUCAAGAUGAGUCUUCCCUGGGACUUCGAGUCCCCUGAAGGAACGUUUAAGACUAAGACGUUGAUAGGCUGGGUGUGUAAGUGCAGCGAUGCAUUGAGCUAACCAGUACUAAUGAACCGUGAGGCUUAACCUU
This 2792-nucleotide ribosomal RNA is filed under the name Serratia rubidaea. RNAcentral's name for it is "23S ribosomal RNA". It matches the Rfam family "Bacterial large subunit ribosomal RNA". The record is from RNAcentral. Lineage: Bacteria; Pseudomonadati; Pseudomonadota; Gammaproteobacteria; Enterobacterales; Yersiniaceae.